AUUAAUUUUCCCUCCCAAUAUUCUCUCACUUACAUGAGCUGAAGAGCCACUCCCACUUCUUCUCCUAAAUGGGGUGGCUUCAAUCCCUCCUCUCUCCAUUGAAGAAAUUCUGGUUUCGCCUGCAUUCAACUCCAAAAAAGAGAAGAGGGAUAUACAUUCUAUAUGAGGAUGUGAAAUCUUGUCCCUGUGAAGAUGUGCAGGUGCUAUGGUCAAUACUAGUGGAGUCACAUGCACCUCCCUUGCCAUCAAAACAAUGAGAAAUGGCUUAUCUUCAAUACAAAGCAUUCACCAAAAUGAGACAGAUAUCCAGUCAUGUACAUAAACUAUUUAUGGUGUUUUAUAUACUCUUGUCAAACACUUUUUUUUCGGUUUCUUUCUACUUUUGCGUUUUCAGUUUCUUGUCAUCUCAGUUACGAUACAAACUACUAGAACAUUAUUUUCCUUA
Jatropha curcas is the source of this 445-nucleotide long non-coding RNA. RefSeq lists it as uncharacterized. The record is from RefSeq and is a predicted model, not a curated record. Lineage: Eukaryota; Viridiplantae; Streptophyta; Magnoliopsida; Malpighiales; Euphorbiaceae.